GAAGUCUUAUGCUUUCCCUUUUUUGGAGAAAAUUUGGUUUGUUCCUUUUUCUUGACCAGACCAUUGACCACCGCUGGUGACUUGAGGUUUUGUUGAAGCCGCAAUCAAUUUUUCUGAAAUUUCCUCAUCAAGAUGUUUCGCAGGCAGCACUCUUCUCGUACAUCUUCUCGUCUAAGAUUCCUUCUGGGAGCAGGUGGCUACACCUUCCCUUACCCAAAUCGUCACCAUUUGCGUCUGAUUCGAGCUCUGAUGGGCGAGGAUGAUGAUACAGCUGAAGAUCAGUGAUCAGAUUAUAGAUACUUUAACAAUUUACCUGAUAUACUUCUUAUAUUUUCUUAACAAUUUGAUAAAUCUGAUCUUGUUUAUCUGUUUUUCAAAGCAGAAGUCUGGCUUUUUUGCACUUUGUCCCAAUUAAAGCAGAACCGAAAGUUUAUUUUUAUAUUUUGGAUCACUGCCUGCACUUUCUGAAUUUUCCAUUCCAAUAAAGUUGCACAACUUCUUGCA
Clarias gariepinus (North African catfish) is the source of this 504-nucleotide long non-coding RNA. RefSeq lists it as uncharacterized. The transcript is spliced from 2 exons. Lineage: Eukaryota; Metazoa; Chordata; Actinopteri; Siluriformes; Clariidae. The record is from RefSeq and is a predicted model, not a curated record.